CUAUACAUGCAGUCGAGCGGACAGAUGGGAGCUUGCUCCCUGAUGUUAGCGGCGGACGGGUGAGUAACACGUGGGUAACCUGCCUGUAAGACUGGGAUAACUCCGGGAAACCGGGGCUAAUACCGGAUGCUUGUUUGAACCGCAUGGUUCAAACAUAAAAGGUGGCUUCGGCUACCACUUACAGAUGGACCCGCGGCGCAUUAGCUAGUUGGUGAGGUAACGGCUCACCAAGGCAACGAUGCGUAGCCGACCUGAGAGGGUGAUCGGCCACACUGGGACUGAGACACGGCCCAGACUCCUACGGGAGGCAGCAGUAGGGAAUCUUCCGCAAUGGACGAAAGUCUGACGGAGCAACGCCGCGUGAGUGAUGAAGGUUUUCGGAUCGUAAAGCUCUGUUGUUAGGGAAGAACAAGUACCGUUCGAAUAGGGCGGUACCUUGACGGUACCUAACCAGAAAGCCACGGCUAACUACGUGCCAGCAGCCGCGGUAAUACGUAGGUGGCAAGCGUUGUCCGGAAUUAUUGGGCGUAAAGGGCUCGCAGGCGGUUUCUUAAGUCUGAUGUGAAAGCCCCCGGCUCAACCGGGGAGGGUCAUUGGAAACUGGGGAACUUGAGUGCAGAAGAGGAGAGUGGAAUUCCACGUGUAGCGGUGAAAUGCGUAGAGAUGUGGAGGAACACCAGUGGCGAAGGCGACUCUCUGGUCUGUAACUGACGCUGAGGAGCGAAAGCGUGGGGAGCGAACAGGAUUAGAUACCCUGGUAGUCCACGCCGUAAACGAUGAGUGCUAAGUGUUUAA
RNAcentral lists this ribosomal RNA (795 nucleotides) under Bacillus subtilis. Its description in RNAcentral is "bacterial SSU rRNA". It matches the Rfam family "Bacterial small subunit ribosomal RNA", at positions 49 to 827 of the family's 1533-position model. Lineage: Bacteria; Bacillati; Bacillota; Bacilli; Caryophanales; Bacillaceae. The record is from RNAcentral.